Molecule: ribosomal RNA, 751 nt
Filed under: uncultured bacterium
Lineage: Bacteria
Description: bacterial SSU rRNA
Rfam family: Bacterial small subunit ribosomal RNA
Source: RNAcentral
UAGUUUGAUCCUGGCUCAGAACGAACGCUAGCGGCAUGCCUCAAACAUGCAAGUCGAACGCGAAAGGGACUUCGGUCCUGAGUAGAGUGGCGCACGGGUGCGUAACACGUAGCUAAUGUACCUCCUCGCUGGGGAUAACUUCGGGAAACCGAAGCUAAUACCGAAUAAUCUGUAGCGGUCUGCGGACUGCUCCGGUAAAGCCUUCGGGCGCGAGGAGAUCAGGCUGCGUCCCAUUAGCUAGUUGGCGGGGUAAUGGCCCACCAAGGCUACGAUGGGUAGCUGGUCUGAGAGGAUGAUCAGCCACACUGGAACUGAAACACGGUCCAGACUCCCACGGGAGGCAGCAGUUGGGAAUAUUGGACAAUGGGGGCAACCCUGAUCCAGCAAUGCCGCGUGAGUGAUGAAGGCUUUCGGGUCGUAAAGCUCUUUAAGCAGGGACGAAGGGGAAACCUUGACGGUACCUGCAGAAUAAGCACCGGCUAACUCUGUGCCAGCAGCCGCGGUAAUACAGAGGGUGCAAGCGUUGUUCGGAAUCAUUGGGCGUAAAGCGCGUGUAGGCGGUCUUCUAAGUCUGGUGUGAAAGCCCAGGGCUUAACCCUGGAAGUGCACUGGAUACUGGAAGACUAGAGGGCGAGAGGGGGAAGCGGAAUUCUUGGUGUAGGGGUGAAAUCCGUAGAUAUCAAGAGGAACAUCGGUGGCGAAGGCGGCUUCCUGGCUCGUUUCUGACGCUCAGACGCGAAAGCGUGGGUAG